RNAcentral lists this ribosomal RNA (240 nucleotides) under uncultured delta proteobacterium. Its description in RNAcentral is "partial 16S ribosomal RNA". It matches the Rfam family "Bacterial small subunit ribosomal RNA", at positions 292 to 523 of the family's 1533-position model. Lineage: Bacteria; Deltaproteobacteria. The record is from RNAcentral.
AGAGGAGUACGAUCAGCCACACUGGGACUGAGAUACGGCCCAGACUCCUACGGGAGGCAGCAGUCGGGAAUUUUGGGCAAUGGGCGAAAGCCUGACCCAGCAACGCCGCGUGAGGGAUGAAGGCCCUCGGGUCGUAAACCUCUGUCGGGAGGGGAGAACGGUCGCGAUUCGAACAGGGUCGCGGCCUGACGGUACCUCCAAAGGAAGCACCGGCUAACUCCGUGCCAGCAGCCGCGGUAA